This 337-nucleotide ribosomal RNA is filed under the name uncultured fungus. RNAcentral describes it as "eukaryotic LSU rRNA". The stretch from base 1 to 125 matches the Rfam family "5.8S ribosomal RNA", at positions 30 to 154 of the family's 154-position model. The record is from RNAcentral. Lineage: Eukaryota; Fungi.
GCAUCGAUGAAGAACGCAGCGAAAUGCGAUAAGUAAUGUGAAUUGCAGAAUUCAGUGAAUCAUCGAAUCUUUGAACGCACAUUGCGCCCCCUGGCAUUCCGGGGGGCAUGCCUGUUCGAGCGUCAUUACACCACUCAAGCCUGGCUUGGUAUUGAGCGCCGCGGCCUGCCCGCGCGCUCCAAUGUCUCCGGCUGAGCCGUCCGUCUCUAAGCGUUGUGAAUAGCGAUCGCUUGCGAGGCCCGGGCGGUUCGACGCCGUUAAACCCCCCAUUUUCUAUGGUUGACCUCGGAUCAGGUAGGGAUACCCGCUGAACUUAAGCAUAUCAAUAAGCGGAGGA